This 497-nucleotide ribosomal RNA is filed under the name uncultured bacterium. Its description in RNAcentral is "partial 16S ribosomal RNA". It matches the Rfam family "Bacterial small subunit ribosomal RNA", at positions 28 to 507 of the family's 1533-position model. The record is from RNAcentral.
GACGAACGCUGGCGGCGUGCCUAAUACAUGCAAGUAGAACGCUGAAGAGAGGAGCUUGCUCUUCUUGGAUGAGUUGCGAACGGGUGAGUAACGCGUAGGUAACCUGCCUUGUAGCGGGGGAUAACUAUUGGAAACGAUAGCUAAUACCGCAUAACAAUGGAUGACACAUGUCAUUUAUUUGAAAGGGGCAAUUGCUCCACUACAAGAUGGACCUGCGUUGUAUUAGCUAGUAGGUGAGGUAAUGGCUCACCUAGGCGACGAUACAUAGCCGACCUGAGAGGGUGAUCGGCCACACUGGGACUGGGACACGGCCCAGACUCCUACGGGAGGCAGCAGUAGGGAAUCUUCGGCAAUGGGGGCAACCCUGACCGAGCAACGCCGCGUGAGUGAAGAAGGGUUUCGGAUCGUAAAGCUCUGUUGUAAGUCAAGAACGGGUGUGAGAGUGGAAAGUUCACACUGUGACGGUAGCUUACCAGAAAGGGACGGCUAACUACGUG